RNAcentral lists this ribosomal RNA (468 nucleotides) under uncultured bacterium. RNAcentral's name for it is "partial 16S ribosomal RNA". It matches the Rfam family "Bacterial small subunit ribosomal RNA", at positions 28 to 507 of the family's 1533-position model. The record is from RNAcentral.
GACGAACGCUGGCGGCGUGCUUAACACAUGCAAGUCGAACGGAAAGGCCCUGCUUUUGUGGGGUGCUCGAGUGGCGAACGGGUGAGUAACACGUGAGUAACCUGCCCUUGACUUUGGGAUAACUUCAGGAAACUGUGGCUAAUACCGGAUACGAGCUCCUGCUGCAUGGUGGGGGUUGGAAAGUUUCGGCGGUUGGGGAUGGACUCGCGGCUUAUCAGCUUGUUGGUGGGGUAGUGGCUUACCAAGGCUUUGACGGGUAGCCGGCCUGAGAGGGUGACCGGCCACAUUGGGACUGAGAUACGGCCCAGACUCCUACGGGAGGCAGCAGUGGGGAAUAUUGCACAAUGGGCGGAAGCCUGAUGCAGCAACGCCGCGUGCGGGAUGACGGCCUUCGGGUUGUAAACCGCUUUCGCCUGUGACGAAGCGUGAGUGACGGUAAUGGGUAAAGAAGCACCGGCUAACUACGUG